CUUGCCAGGAAUUCUGGCCCUCACUUCCAACAGUUAGUGAGAGGGGGCCCCCUUCUGCAAGUGCCCAGAAAACCACUGCAGCUUUUCAGAUCACAAGGGAUUCUCUGCAACCAGCAGGAAGUAGGGGCUACCAGGACAGCACAACCGAGCCCCAGCUUUGGAACAGUUUUGCAUCCUUGGGAUCACAUUCAGGAGAGUCUAAGACCCAAAUCUCCAUCCUUUGUUCCUGAUGUGAGGACUGGAGGACUGUACUGGGGGGAAGGGAGUGUCAGUAUUCAGACAGGCAGACUGGGGCAUUUUAACAUGGGGGCAUCUGUGCCUAAAUCCAACAGCUCUGCCAGAAGAGGUCCUGGGAAGCCCAGGGCCAAGGACAACUGCAAAGCUGCCAGCGCCCUCAAAAUGUUCCUCACCGAUUUCCUCACACACUCACACAAAUGAACAGUCUAAACCCAGGUGUCUAAACAUACCCUCGGCCACUUACCAUACAGUAUGUUGGAGAAAGGAACUCGGGCUUGAAACUUUCGGGAAUGGAAACAGUACAUAUUGUAAAGGGCACAUAUUGUGUUGAUAAGUCUGCGCAAGAAUUGAGAGUAAUAAAUGUGAGUGAGGAAUCUGAGACUUGGGUAGAAGCUUGAGACUAGGGGUUAGCUCAGUAGUGUCUAGUCACCCCACCUCCAGAAUGAGCAGCCAUAACCUAUGGCUGAAGGGCUGAANNNNNNNNNAGGGCUAAGGGAAUCAGAAGCAGGACCAGCCAUCUUAGCAAGAGCCUUGAACCAGCGGAUGCCAUGCAUUCUCGUGCAACUUUGCCAGGGCUGGCCAGACCCUGGAGACCCUGAACAACGGGUGUUCCCUGUCACAAAACAUCCCACACAAACAAUGGUUUCCCCCCAUUUGCACACUCUAACAGAUCUGUGGGUGGCAAGACGCUCUUGGGGAAGAAGCUGUCUGAUUCUCCACACUGCCAUUUUCACCCUCCAUACUGCCAGCAUCCUAGCUGCCUCUUGCAGUAAGGCUCAUUUUUGA
This 1023-nucleotide long non-coding RNA is filed under the name Capra hircus (goat). RNAcentral's name for it is "lncRNA (ENSCHIG00010000380.1)". Lineage: Eukaryota; Metazoa; Chordata; Mammalia; Artiodactyla; Bovidae. The record is from RNAcentral.